GUCACUUGUCAUGCAAAAAGGCAAAGGUAACAUGCUUGUAUGAUUGGGCACAUUUACACAAGAAGAUGAGGCUCAGGAGUCACAAACAUAAAUGUUCUUGUUCUUCCUUUAUGCUCCAGUGUCUAACAACACAUCUGCAAUGAUGCCAAGCUGACCUUGCUCGUGCAAGCAAAGCCCAGGAUGGAGCUGCUGGAUCGCUGCGUAACCUGACCCUCUGGUUGAAAGGAUGCAGAAUCGCUGUACUCCCAUCUGGAUUAUUACAUUCAAUUUAGGCCACAUGAACUCCUGUGCUGAAGGUGUACAUCUAAGAAAAUGGUUGUGAAUUGAGCGUGACUUGCAUAAAAGAGCAAGUUGCACCUAUUCUCUCUUGGAAAGCAUCUGCUUUUAGUUAAAAUCACAGUUGGCUCCCUACCCAGCCAUGGGGCCCCCAUCUUCUUUUCUGUAUCACCCCACAUUCACAUGCUUAAUAUACUAGUAAUUUUAUUAUGGGGCUGUGGUCAAGACUCUGUGGCUAAGGUUGCAACCAAGUUCUUUUAUAAGCUCUGUUUUUUGUCUGCCCCACUAGGGCUUUCACUAGGAAAACUGACUUGAAAAUUGGCAACAUUCACUUUGCACUUCAUAUCCAUAUAUUUACAUUCUCAGUCAUGUUUAAUUGUCAUGGUCCCUGCUUUACUACUCUUUCAACUUUAAUGUUAAUUAUCGGCCUCCUCUUAAAGUUAAGCCUUUCUUGGUGUCUUUUAAUUAUAAUAAAGCCCUAGGCAGUUGUGUUACUGUGACCACUGCAUAUUAUACAGUUCUUGGUUGUGUCCCUUACUUGCCUUGUUAUGGCUUAUUUGUAGACUGGAAGCUCUUUGACUUUCUGUUGCAUUUGUUUGAGCAUGUUGAGGGUUGCAGUCUGCAACUCAAACCUCUUCUUAUUGCUGCAGUAAAAAUAAAUUAUAUUAAACAUUCUAAAAAUUCAUAGACAGAUCCUGUCUUUAGUUGCAACUGAUAGUAGAAUUUCCACCACCAUCAACAGAAAUGGGGUGUAGCUGUGGCCUUCAUUUUGUAAAUGACCGUGGGUGCUAACUCAUCCUACCUGUAAGCUAAACCAGUGCUGCUUCCUAAUCAAAGCCUCUUUGUCAUUGUAAAAAAUGAAAUAAUCAGUUUUGUCAAGAUACUGAAAGUCUGCACGCUUGAGUGUAGGAAGUAUGUGUGUGACAGAGUUGAGCGGGUAUAACUGGAAAAUUUUCUUUUGAAAAUUAUGCAGAAUUGGAAGAACUGUAGUGCAAGUGCUGGUUUUCUUUUUGAAUUGUCUUUUCUCAUCACUUUUUAAAUGCAAAAUCCAGCCUUGCUCACAGGAGCUAAGUAAUAGUAGAGAAUUUGCAAGUAGCCAGUUGACUUUGGCACCUUAAUCUGCGUUCAAAGUGAAUUCAGGUUAAAGGUGGUAAAGUGUCGAUUUAAAAUGUAGCAGCAGUUCUUAUUGCAUAAGAAGAGGACAUUUUUCUUGUUCAAUGUCAUCUAUUUUCAUGCAAUUUCUGAAUAAUUAUUCCUGACUGUGUAGGAAAGCUGUAAAGAAUCCUAUAUCCAAAAGUGACUUAACAGCAUCCAGACCUCUAAGUAGUGAACAUUUUCACAUUCAGCAUCCUAAGUGUAUGAUUCAUUAUUUGUAAUGAAACAGGAUCUUCUAAGCCCUCUCCAUUUUUUCCAAAGUUUAAUCUAGCUUCUUUAAGUACAUAGGUUCUGUGGUCAGAGAGGUUUUAAAUUGGUGAGAGAGCUAAAAUUAUCUGCAAGAAACAAUGAAUCCUUUGAUAUUUUCAGAAGAGAUUUGAUGAAGGUCAAAAAUUUAAAAGCAGAGGAAAACAGAAGAAAGUCCACCACUGGAAGAGAUCAAACAGGACUAAGAGGGUGAUGGUAAGGAUGGUAAGGGGAAACAAAUCUGGAAGGAAGCACAGGGUCUGGAAAGGGAGACAUUUUCAAACAAGGGCAGAAUGGAUAGACAUGAGUCCCUGUGUGAUCUGCUCUGGGUGAACCUGCUUUAGCAGGUGGGUUGGACAAGAAGAUCUCCAGAGGUCCCUCCCAACCCCAACCAUUCCGUGAUUCUGUGAGUAUUCUCAGGAAUGUUAGUUGCUCUGUAAUACCCUAUUUCGAAAAAAAAGUCACUUUUUUUUUGAAAAUAUGUAGAUUUUCCUCCUCUUCCACUGAACUGUUCGACAUACUCAUUAUCCCCUUUGUGCAAGUUUCUCAGAUUCACAACACAGUGAUUAUUCUUAACGUAAAGUGAGUACCCUUGCCUCUAAAGUAUAAAUUCGCAUCCACUUGGGGAAAACCUUAUCCAUUCUUCUACAAGAAGGACUGUAGUUCUACCAUAUGAAGAAGAAGUUGUGUCUGAGAAGUCUGUGCAAAGUUGAUCAUCUCAGAAGCAUGGAGCUGAAUCUGCCAGUGGUACCAGUCCAAAGAAGGAUCUGUCUUAUGAAUGUAUGGUAUUAUGCAUGUUUAGAGGAAUUAUUGCAGACCUGAGACCACAGUCGCUUCUAGCUUUAAACAGGUCAUGCUAUUGUUAGUGAUGCAGCAACACAUGACACCAAGGACACUGAGACACUGAGGAAGUGCUUGGGCUGUAGUUGUAUCUGGAUGAUUCCAGGAAUCUCUCUUGUCCAAGAAGGACUUGGAAGAGUACACAGAAACUGGCCAUUCCCACUUAAGACAUUAUAGCUAAAUAUUGUAACUUCAGACUUGGUAUAGUUCACUUCUCUGGUCUGAGAGGUAAUGUGAAGUUAUACUGUAUUACUGCUACCCUAUUGAUUGAGCUGGUACAUUCCCUGUCAAGUUGUGCUUUAACAAGUUCUUUGACAGCAAAACCCCCUCUAAA
This is a long non-coding RNA of Columba livia (rock pigeon), 2851 nucleotides long. RefSeq lists it as uncharacterized. Lineage: Eukaryota; Metazoa; Chordata; Aves; Columbiformes; Columbidae. The record is from RefSeq and is a predicted model, not a curated record. The transcript is spliced from 2 exons.